RNAcentral lists this ribosomal RNA (484 nucleotides) under uncultured bacterium. RNAcentral's name for it is "partial 16S ribosomal RNA". It matches the Rfam family "Bacterial small subunit ribosomal RNA", at positions 30 to 507 of the family's 1533-position model. The record is from RNAcentral.
AUUGAACGCUGGCGGCAGGCCUAACACAUGCAAGUCGAGCGGAUGAGGGGAGCUUGCUCCCUGAUUUAGCGGCGGACGGGUGAGUAAUGCCUAGGAAUCUGCCUGGUCGUGGGGGAUAACGUUCCGAAAGGAACGCUAAUACCGCAUACGUCCUACUGGAGAAAGCCGGGGACCUUCGGUCCUUGCGCUAUCAGAUGAGCCUAGGUCGGAUUAGCUAGUUGGUGAGGUAAUGGCUCACCAAGGCGACGAUCCGUAACUGGUCUGAGAGGAUGAUCAGUCACACUGGAACUGAGACACGGUCCAGACUCCUACGGGAGGCAGCAGUGGGGAAUAUUGGACAAUGGGCGAAAGCCUGAUCCAGCCAUGCCGCGUGUGUGAAGAAGGUCUUCGGAUUGUAAAGCACUUUAAGUUGGGAGGAAGGGCUGCUGGUUAAUACCCUGCAGUUUUGACGUUACCAACAGAAUAAGCACCGGCUAACUUCGUG